CGUGGGAGCGAGCCUGCUCGCGAAGCGGUGUGUCAGCUUGCACAAGUAUUGUAUGUAACGCCGCUAUCGCGAGCAGGCUCGCUCCCACA
RNAcentral lists this unclassified non-coding RNA (89 nucleotides) under Pseudomonas corrugata. Lineage: Bacteria; Pseudomonadati; Pseudomonadota; Gammaproteobacteria; Pseudomonadales; Pseudomonadaceae. The record is from RNAcentral.